RNAcentral lists this transfer RNA (72 nucleotides) under Nanobdellota archaeon. RNAcentral's name for it is "tRNA-Ala". It matches the Rfam family "tRNA". Rfam says of the family: Transfer RNA (tRNA) molecules are approximately 80 nucleotides in length. Their secondary structure includes four short double-helical elements and three loops (D, anti-codon, and T loops). Further hydrogen bonds mediate the characteristic L-shaped molecular structure. tRNAs have two regions of fundamental functional importance: the anti-codon, which is responsible for specific mRNA codon recognition, and the 3' end, to which the tRNAs corresponding amino acid is attached (by aminoacyl-tRNA synthetases). tRNAs cope with the degeneracy of the genetic code in two manners: having more than one tRNA (with a specific anti-codon) for a particular amino acid; and 'wobble' base-pairing, i.e. permitting non-standard base-pairing at the 3rd anti-codon position. Lineage: Archaea; Nanobdellati; Nanobdellota. The record is from RNAcentral.
GGGCCGAUGGUUCAGUGGUAGAAUACUCGGUUGGCAAUCGAGUGGUCCCGGGUUCAAUUCCCGGUCGGUCCA